AACUUAGCAAACGCCGCCUUCUUCACCUCCACUUUUCCUUCGACUACAUCGUUUCACCACCAAUCACCCUGAUGUCUGCCUGAAUAGACCUUGUCUACCCCGAGCACAUCCCGUGCUACCUCCCUAACCAAGUUCGACGUCUAUGACCACAUAGCGUCCGCUUCCCCAGAACUUCUCCAAGCUCCGCCCUCAGCUAACCU
RNAcentral lists this long non-coding RNA (200 nucleotides) under Nicotiana benthamiana. RNAcentral describes it as "long non-coding RNA (NBEN_LNC000016)". Lineage: Eukaryota; Viridiplantae; Streptophyta; Magnoliopsida; Solanales; Solanaceae. The record is from RNAcentral.